UUCCCAGUUGACUUGCCUGGUCGUGUUGUCCUUUCAAUAUUCAAAGCUGCAGCAAAAGCAUGGGGCUUGUUGCUUCUAGAAACACCCCAGAUCUCUUGUCUGCUGUGUGCAUGUUGUUCAGGUAAAGCAGAUUUAAAAAAACAAACAAACAAACAAAGAAAUGAAAACCAGCUGCUGCUGCUCCUGCUCCCUUCCUACUUCCUUGUGCUUUUUCCCUCCCCUUUUCCAGGUGAUUGGGUUUGGGUGCUGGGCGGGGCCAAAAGGUAUAUGAGCCCCAGGCAUGGCAUCAGAGAGUUCCUUCUGCCUGGGCUGCUCUUUGGGAGGACUAAAACAAGCUUGAUUGCAUGGUACAUGUGGCUUAACAGCAUAGACGCAGCAUUACCAAGAAACUGAGCAGGGUUGUAUCGGUCACCUCUUUCAUCUGCAAAGGGUGAGUCUGUGAUUACCCCUGCCAGGGCUGCUGUGUGUGCAUGUCUUUUUGGCAUUUCUGGAGCUCAGUUGUUUUUUUUUGUGUGUUUAUGUUCUAACUUUUUGGUUUUUUGUUUUGUUUUGUUUUGUUUUUAAGGGCAAAUAGUGUUUGUGCUGAGCGUGGUUGGCAGGAGGAGGUGGGGAGCUGCUCAGGACUGGUAGGUUUUGUUUCUGGGAGUGUGCGGCAUCCUUCCUGUGCGAUGCGACUGAUUGUUGGGCAGGAACGUUUCAGCUCCUGUGUCUUGAGCAACGUAGCUUGUGUAGUGUGUGUUGUUUGGCCUGGGCAGAGUUUGCUGUGGCGCUGUGAGGGAAGAAUCAGAGUUCGAGCUGGUGAGCAGCUGAAGUACUGGAGCUGGGAAGAGAGAGGUAUUGCGGCAGGUACGCUGUGGCUGUGAGGUGCCUCAGAGUGUGCUGUUCUCUUGUCUUUGCAGGUGCUUUGUGCAGUCGUGGACAGGGAAGGGAAAUCCUCAUGUCACGGAGCUGUGAGGGAAGGUGAGUGUUGCCAGCCUGGUCAUCCCCUAUCCAAAGCGAAGGGAAGACGCUCAGGUGUUUCCCUCGGAGGGUCCGAGGUGAGGCUGUUUGGGAUAGAGGAGCAGUGUGGCAGGUGGGUGCUUGCA
Molecule: long non-coding RNA, 1085 nt
Filed under: Anas platyrhynchos platyrhynchos (common mallard)
Lineage: Eukaryota; Metazoa; Chordata; Aves; Anseriformes; Anatidae
Description: lncRNA (ENSAPLG00000030265.1)
Source: RNAcentral